Molecule: transfer RNA, 74 nt
Filed under: bacterium
Lineage: Bacteria
Also listed under: 2 other names
Description: tRNA-Met
Rfam family: tRNA
About the family: Transfer RNA (tRNA) molecules are approximately 80 nucleotides in length. Their secondary structure includes four short double-helical elements and three loops (D, anti-codon, and T loops).
Source: RNAcentral
GGCGGCAUAGCUCAGGUGGUCAGAGCAUGCGGCUCAUAUCCGCAGUGUCCGGGGUUCGAAUCCCUGUGCCGCCA